UAGCUCAGUUGGUAGAGCACGACCUUGCCAAGGUCGGGGUCGCGAGUUCGAGUCUCGUUUCCCG
RNAcentral lists this transfer RNA (64 nucleotides) under Cytophagales bacterium. RNAcentral's name for it is "tRNA-Gly". It matches the Rfam family "tRNA", at positions 8 to 63 of the family's 71-position model. From Rfam's summary of the family: Transfer RNA (tRNA) molecules are approximately 80 nucleotides in length. Their secondary structure includes four short double-helical elements and three loops (D, anti-codon, and T loops). Further hydrogen bonds mediate the characteristic L-shaped molecular structure. tRNAs have two regions of fundamental functional importance: the anti-codon, which is responsible for specific mRNA codon recognition, and the 3' end, to which the tRNAs corresponding amino acid is attached (by aminoacyl-tRNA synthetases). tRNAs cope with the degeneracy of the genetic code in two manners: having more than one tRNA (with a specific anti-codon) for a particular amino acid; and 'wobble' base-pairing, i.e. permitting non-standard base-pairing at the 3rd anti-codon position. The record is from RNAcentral. Lineage: Bacteria; Pseudomonadati; Bacteroidota; Cytophagia; Cytophagales.